UACAGAGGGUGCGAGCGUUAAUCGGAAUUACUGGGCGUAAAGGGCGCGUAGGCGGUUGUAUAUGUGGGAUGUGAAAGCCCCGGGCUUAACCUGGGAAGUGCAUACCAAACUGUACGACUAGAGUAUAUGAGAGGGUAGUGGAAUUCCCGGUGUAGCGGUGAAAUGCGUAGAGAUCGGGAGGAACGCCAAUGGCGAAGGCAGCUACCUGGCAUAAUACUGACGCUGAGGCGCGAAAGCGUGGGGAGCAAACAGG
RNAcentral lists this ribosomal RNA (253 nucleotides) under uncultured bacterium. RNAcentral's name for it is "partial 16S ribosomal RNA". It matches the Rfam family "Bacterial small subunit ribosomal RNA", at positions 524 to 776 of the family's 1533-position model. The record is from RNAcentral.